This is a long non-coding RNA of Corvus hawaiiensis (hawaiian crow), 987 nucleotides long. RefSeq lists it as uncharacterized. Lineage: Eukaryota; Metazoa; Chordata; Aves; Passeriformes; Corvidae. The record is from RefSeq and is a predicted model, not a curated record. The transcript is spliced from 3 exons.
UUAGGGGGAGCCACUUCUAUCUUCUGCUGAUGUUGCUGCUAACUUUGCAAUAUAUCUAAGCGUGCCCACCUGAUUGCAGCCCUGGGCAGCAUGAAAGCACAUGAAAUUAUUGCUUAGUCUUCAUGAGAAGGAAAGAAAAUCAACGGACAUAUGAGGCAGAGCAGAAGGAUAGAGAUAUUACUUUGGACCAGAUGAGCCCGCAGAGAGCACAGCUGCUACCGAGUGUUACAGCAGAGCUGCUCAUCGCUGAUGCUGUGCUACAUCCUGCCAGUCCAAAGGGCAGAGGCAGCCUCAGGCUGAAAGGAGAACGAGGGAGAGUCAUGUGCUCUGACCACAGAGCAAGAUGGGCAAGUGCACAGAAAACAUCAUCUCAUGUGAGCUGCAAAGCUACAGACAGGCCCCUGGGCCCUACAGACACCUGCAUGCAGUGGAUCUGGAUGGUUCCAGGAGCAACAGCAGGAGAUUUAAUCAUGUUGUAACUGAAAGCAGCACUCUGUUGCAAGAUCCCCACUACAUGCUGAGGAUAGGCUUCAACUGCAUCCAACGUUUUGCCAUGAGAGGCGAGUUGUUCUGCAAGCAAGGAAGAAUGUUUUAUUGUUCUGGUACUUUGUCUCUUUGGAUAUGGUUUAGAAAUCAAAUAAUACAUUGAAAACAUGCUUCAACAGAAAUGAAACCCAAGAAUCCUCAUUUUUUGUUUAUUUUAUUUUGUUAUUGUGAGACUCCUAGCAAAGCUAACACCUCAUAGCUUUAAUGGAAGUCCUUCAAUAAAAAUGACAAUAGACAAACAGUAUCCAGCAUUGGCACUACUGGUCAGAGUUUGUUGUGGUUCUACUGAUUCUGUGGAAGACUUUCCCUCUUUUAACUCUUUCUGUCCUUUGAAAAGACAAAACACUCUUCGGUAUUUCUAGGCUAAAAGUUAAGACCCAUGAAAAUCAGAAGCUAUCUCAGUAGAUACAAGAAAUUAUGAAGGCAGAUUACCUCCAAAUA